This 497-nucleotide ribosomal RNA is filed under the name uncultured bacterium. RNAcentral describes it as "partial 16S ribosomal RNA". It matches the Rfam family "Bacterial small subunit ribosomal RNA", at positions 28 to 507 of the family's 1533-position model. The record is from RNAcentral.
GAUGAACGCUGGCGGCGUGCCUAAUACAUGCAAGUCGAGCGAACAGACGAGGAGCUUGCUCCUCUGACGUUAGCGGCGGACGGGUGAGUAACACGUGGAUAACCUACCUAUAAGACUGGGAUAACUUCGGGAAACCGGAGCUAAUACCGGAUAAUAUAUUGAACCGCAUGGUUCAAUAGUGAAAGACGGUUUUGCUGUCACUUAUAGAUGGAUCCGCGCCGCAUUAGCUAGUUGGUAAGGUAACGGCUUACCAAGGCAACGAUGCGUAGCCGACCUGAGAGGGUGAUCGGCCACACUAGAACUGAUGCACCGUCCAGACUCCUACGGGAGGCAGCAGUACAGAAUCUUCCGCAAUGGGCGAAAGCCUGACGGAGCAACGCCGCGUGAGUGAUGAAGGUCUUCAGAUCGUAAAACUCUGUUAUUAGGGAAGAACAAAUGUGUAAGUAACUAUGCACGUCUUGACGGUACCUAAUCAGAAAGCCACGGCUAACUACGUG